Molecule: long non-coding RNA, 949 nt
Filed under: Nicotiana tabacum (common tobacco)
Lineage: Eukaryota; Viridiplantae; Streptophyta; Magnoliopsida; Solanales; Solanaceae
Description: long non-coding RNA (NTAB_LNC012731)
Source: RNAcentral
UUCACUUCUUCAUAAGGUAAAAUAAAUACAUUAUUGUAAGUUAGUGUCGCUGGAACAAUAGUCCAAUUAAAUAUUUCUUAAUGGCUAGUUCAUUACAAAUACCAAAUGCACCAAACGAAAAGGGAACUAUCACUGCUCAGCCGGGUGAUUUAUACGUUGAUGAAGGAGCAUCUUGGUCCGACAGAUGAACUUGUAAUUAUCUACUCUAGAAUUAUUUUUUCCUGUUUUAUAAAUGCGUUUCUAUUGAUAUUACAUGAUAUAUAUGGUGUUGUCUACGGAUAAUACCUUCGUCCAUAUAUUCACAUGUACCAGACACAACUAGUGAUGGCAAAAUAGUUAAAAGAAAAUAUUUAUCCACCUAUAUUAUUCAUUAAAAAAUGGGUUAGAUAAUGAACUUUUUAAAAACGGGUCAAAUAUGGAUAAGAACCAUAUUAUCCACUUAGAAAAUGGAUAAGCAAUGAAUAACUAACGGGUUUAACUUUUAUAUUUGUAAAGCCUCAAAUUGAGGGUUUCUCAAGUUUAGGAGACUAGGAAUUUUUCCAAAAAACGAUCAUAUUCAAGAAGUCAUGGAUAAUAUGGAUAUCCGUAUUAUCCGCCGAUUAACCCAUUUUUUAUCCGUAUUAAAAAUAUGGAUCGAAUCGCAUAAUUUAUCCAUUUUUUACAUUACCUGUUUUGACCCCUCAUACCCGUCUGUUUGCCGCCCUAGACACAACUAUUCUGAGUUUCCGACUACGCUAUGACAGAAGGGUAAAGAGUGAAUUAUUACCUUAGCAAGCAGGAAACAGAGACAAUUUAUUCAAGGUGGCUCCGAUUUAUAAGAGAAAAUUAUCCGCGAGAAGGGGACGUUGUACUAUGUGAAUAUUGGGAGCGCAAUAACAAUAAUGUUAUAAAAUAUAACUCAAAUUAACAAUAUAGAACAAGAAAAACAAAGCUAAGAGAUAUAGAGAGN